AAAAAAACAGAAAACAAAUGUGAUGGAUGACUAAAAAUCGCCCAUAAAACCGCACAAUUGAAAUAAAUUGUGAAAGGAUUAUGUUUUGUUGUUAGUGCAGCAAAUUACUUUAAUUAAACUUAAUAAAGAAAUAAUUUGUGCAAAAAAAAAAAA
Molecule: long non-coding RNA, 153 nt
Organism: Calliphora vicina (urban bluebottle blowfly)
Lineage: Eukaryota; Metazoa; Arthropoda; Insecta; Diptera; Calliphoridae
Exons: 2
Source: RefSeq, a predicted model, not a curated record